GGGACCUUGGAAAUAGGGUACAUGCUUGGAUGGUAGGAUGGAAAGGAGGAACCAUGUCUGCUUUUCUCACUGCUGCAGCCCCCAGGCCAGCACGGACCUAGGAUGGGGUAGACACGCGUCAGGCUGCCUGAGGAUAGAGAUCUUUCUCUGCUGCCUUACUGCCAGUUACAUUAAAUACAGUAGAUGACAAGGGUUUAUCA
Long non-coding RNA from Suricata suricatta (meerkat), 200 nucleotides. RefSeq lists it as uncharacterized. The transcript has 3 exons. Lineage: Eukaryota; Metazoa; Chordata; Mammalia; Carnivora; Herpestidae. The record is from RefSeq and is a predicted model, not a curated record.